AUUGAACGCUGGCGGCAGGCCUAACACAUGCAAGUCGAACGGUAACAGGAAGCAGCUUGCUGUUUCGCUGACGAGUGGCGGACGGGUGAGUAAUGUCUGGGAAACUGCCUGAUGGAGGGGGAUAACUACUGGAAACGGUAGCUAAUACCGCAUAACGUCGCAAGACCAAAGAGGGGGACCUUCGGGCCUCUUGCCAUCGGAUGUGCCCAGAUGGGAUUAGCUAGUAGGUGGGGUAACGGCUCACCUAGGCGACGAUCCCUAGCUGGUCUGAGAGGAUGACCAGCCACACUGGAACUGAGACACGGUCCAGACUCCUACGGGAGGCAGCAGUGGGGAAUAUUGCACAAUGGGCGCAAGCCUGAUGCAGCCAUGCCGCGUGUAUGAAGAAGGCCUUCGGGUUGUAAAGUACUUUCAGCGGGGAGGAAGGGAGUAAAGUUAAUACCUUUGCUCAUUGACGUUACCCGCAGAAGAAGCACCGGCUAACUCCGUGCCAGCAGCCGCGGUAAUACGGAGGGUGCAAGCGUUAAUCGGAAUUACUGGGCGUAAAGCGCACGCAGGCGGUUUGUUAAGUCAGAUGUGAAAUCCCCGGGCUCAACCUGGGAACUGCAUCUGAUACUGGCAAGCUUGAGUCUCGUAGAGGGGGGUAGAAUUCCAGGUGUAGCGGUGAAAUGCGUAGAGAUCUGGGGGAAUACCGGUGGCGAAGGCGGCCCCCUGGACGAAGACUGACGCUCAGGUGC
This 737-nucleotide ribosomal RNA is filed under the name uncultured Pseudomonadota bacterium. RNAcentral's name for it is "bacterial SSU rRNA". It matches the Rfam family "Bacterial small subunit ribosomal RNA", at positions 28 to 754 of the family's 1533-position model. Lineage: Bacteria; Pseudomonadati; Pseudomonadota. The record is from RNAcentral.